UCCCGUGGCCUAGUGGUUAUGGCGUUCGCCUCGGAUGCUGGAGGUCGUGGGUUUUAUCCCCGGUCGAGUCAU
Non-coding RNA from Potamilus streckersoni, 72 nucleotides. Lineage: Eukaryota; Metazoa; Mollusca; Bivalvia; Unionida; Unionidae. The record is from the annotation of a GenBank genome assembly.